RNAcentral lists this ribosomal RNA (914 nucleotides) under uncultured archaeon. Its description in RNAcentral is "bacterial SSU rRNA". It matches the Rfam family "Archaeal small subunit ribosomal RNA", at positions 1 to 923 of the family's 1478-position model. The record is from RNAcentral.
UUCCGGUUGAUCCUGCCGGACCUGACUGCUAUCGGAUUGGUACUAAGCCAUGUGAGUCGUUGUAGCAAUACAAGGCAUACGGCUCAGUAACACGUAGUCAAUCUAACCUAUGGACGGGGAUAACCUCGGGAAACUGAGGAUAAACCCCGAUAGAUCAUAAUGCCUGGAACGGUUUAUGGUCCAAAUGAUUCGUCGCCGUAGGGUGGGACUGCGGCCUAUCAGCUUGUUGGUGAGGUAAUGGCCCACCAAGGCUAUUACAGGUACGGGCUCUGAGAGGAGUAGCCCGGAGAUGGGUACUGAGACACGGACCCAGGCCCUAUGGGGCGCAGCAGGCGAGAAACCUUUGCAAUGUGCGCAAGCACGACAAGGUUAAUCCGAGUGUUUCCUGUUAAAGGAAUCUUUUGUUAGUUCUAAAACCACUGAUGAAUAAGGGGUGGGCAAGUUCUGGUGUCAGCCGCCGCGGUAAAACCAGCACCUCAAGUGGUCAGGAUGAUUAUUGGGCCUAAAGCAUCCGUAGCCUGUUCUGAAAGUUUCCGGUUAAAUCCAUUAACUCAACUAAUGGGCUGCCGAAAAUACUGCAGAACUAGGGAGUGGGAGAGGUAGACGGUACUCGGUAGGAAGGGGUAAAAUCCUUUGAUCUAUUGAUGACCACCUGAGGCGAAGGCGGUCUACCAGAACACGUUCGACGGUGAGGGAUGAAAGCUGGGGGAGCAAACCGGAUUAGAUACCCGGGUAGUCCCAGCUGUAAACGAUGCAAACUCGGUGAUGCGCUGGCUUGUGGCCAGUGCAGUGCCGCAGGGAAGCCGUUAAGUUUGCCGCCUGGGAAGUACGUACGCAAGUAUGAACUUAAAGGAAUUGGCGGGGGAGCACCACAACGGGGUGAAGCCUGCGGUUCAAUUGAGUCAACGCCGGGA